CUUCUUCUCUGAGAAAAGGAGUUUACGACCCACAGGCUUUCAUCCUCCACGCGGCAUUGCUCCGUCAGGCUUUCGCCCAU
Molecule: ribosomal RNA, 80 nt
Filed under: uncultured cyanobacterium
Lineage: Bacteria; Bacillati; Cyanobacteriota
Description: partial 16S ribosomal RNA
Source: RNAcentral